AAUCGAGCAGUCUUGGCUGCUCGAUUUACACAUCUUGUUGCCUUAAUAGCCAAUUUUUUUCACAGAAAGGGUGGAUCCUCUUCUACAAAAGCCACUUUACGCAGCCACUGUAGUUCCUCCUACAUACCUGCACAGGGAGGAUGAGUGAAUUUCUGUCUGCACAUGGCUCGGCAUCUGAGUCACUCUAACCACAGAACAACAGUCCCGUCAGCUCGCAGUGACCUCUGCUACAUUCAUCAGCCAACGUUACGUGCGCCACACUUGGUGUUAGGAGCCACUGUUGGGCCACCCUAAAGAUGGUCAAUCAUUUACUGGCCCUACCUUGCCUAGCCUUCCUCUCAUGACAAAUCAACAGCAGGUCAACUAACUGUGUCUCCACAAAACUGGACAGCCAACACCCAGCUGGGAACAAUGGCCAAUGUGGCAGAGUCUUCUGAUAAUGCAAGGUGUGUGUAUGUGUGUAAGUAUCACUAUCCCAGGGUGACCAAUGCUCUGAUAUCUCUGCAAAACAGAAUGUGUCUAAC
Dicentrarchus labrax (European seabass) is the source of this 524-nucleotide long non-coding RNA. RefSeq lists it as uncharacterized. The transcript is spliced from 3 exons. The record is from RefSeq and is a predicted model, not a curated record. Lineage: Eukaryota; Metazoa; Chordata; Actinopteri; Moronidae.